RNAcentral lists this ribosomal RNA (262 nucleotides) under uncultured bacterium. Its description in RNAcentral is "partial 16S ribosomal RNA". It matches the Rfam family "Bacterial small subunit ribosomal RNA", at positions 793 to 1055 of the family's 1533-position model. The record is from RNAcentral.
GUCCACGCCGUAAACGAUGUCAACUAGCCGUUGGGAGCCUUGAGCUCUUAGUGGCGCAGCUAACGCAUUAAGUUGACCGCCUGGGGAGUACGGCCGCAAGGUUAAACUCAAAUGAAUUGACGGGGGCCCGCACAAGCGGUGGAGCAUGUGGUUUAAUUCGAAGCAACGCGAAGAACCUUACCAGGCCUUGACAUCCAAUGAACUUUCCAGAGAUGGAUUGGUACCUUCGGGAACAUUGAGACAGGUGCUGCAUGGCUGUCGU